AGAAACAGUGCAGCCAGCAGGAGCAGAGAGGUGAUCGUCCCUCUGUACUCCACUCUGGUAAGGCUGCACCUCAAGUGCUGCAUUCGGAUUCAGGCCGCUCCCUACAAGAGAGACAUUCAGGCCCUGGAGCUUGUCCAGAUGAGGGCAACAAAGCUGGUGAGGGAUCUGGAGCACAAGUCUGAUGGGGAGCGGCUGGGGGAGCUGGGAUUGUUCAGUCUGGAGAAGAGGAGACUCAGGGGAGAAUUUAUUGCUCAGUACAGCUGCCUGAAAGGAGGAUGUGGUGAGCUUAGCAAACCCAUGGAGAGUAUUUUAGAGGAUUUGUUCCCUUCUUUAACUUGGAAACAGGACAUUCCAUCUAAGGUUUGAAUUUCCGUUUCUGACAGAAAACAAACCCAAAUCACCUCUAUGCUGGAACUGUGAAGAAGAGGCAGGUGUCCCACAAAAAGCACAACAGAAGCUAGAGGGUGCAGCAACGGCUGAAUAAAAGUUGGAAUUUCCAUCCACUUUGGGACAAGAAGUCAAAAUAUCAACAUGCGCCGUGGGACAGAAUGUUCUGCAAUACAUGGCUUCAGAAACAAUUGAACAUUUCUUCUUUUCCCAGCCAAGCACAAAAACUGCAUAUUUCCAUAGUGUUGUGCUGCCUAGUGGGGUUUGGAGUUUGAAUCUCCUAUUGUGUCCUUCUGCCCUGUGGGUACGACCUCAGGCGAGGGCUGCAUCUCUGGCACUGUGCUGCAGCGGUGGGGAUGGCCACAAGAGGAGGGAGUGCAUUGUGCCUGUAUAGAUAGAGCCUGAGCAGGGAAUUAACCACAGGAGGUGGAAGAGGCUAAAACUGCCAGCUGUAUUAUCCAGUUCCUACUGAACUGCACUAAAACAAAAUGUUGUGGUACAAGCAAUUUUUGCCAUAGGAUUUUUUUUUUUUCCCAUGAGAAAGUAAUUCUUACUCAAAACAGUCAGGUGGCAGUUUGACUUUCUCCAGUAGUGACUUGAUGGUACUAGGGGCUGUACAAACCUAACUGGGCAAGACAAUGUAUAUCUGGAGAGAUUAGGGCUUCCUUCUUCCCUGUCAUAAACACAGCCUUAACAGGUUCUACUCCUUCUCAUAUUGCUCUGUCUACACCAAUCACAGAAUCAUAGAAUCAUUUGAGUUGGAAGGGACCCUUAAAAGUUAUCUGGUCCAACUCCAUGCAGUGAACAGGACACCUACAGCUACAUCAGGUUGCUCAGAGCCCUGUCCAGCCUGACUUUGAAUGUCUCUAAGGACAUCGGACAGGUCAAUAAACUGGGUAGGCUCGAAAUAGGCCUCUGUCAGCACGGUUUUGGCCUUCACCAUCUAAUGCCAUGUCCAGACCUGGUCUAGGAUACAGUAUAGGUCUUAGUAAGCAAUAUGGAUGAGUUCAUCUUAAGUUUGAGGGAAAAUUACCUGUAGUAGAGGAUACCUUGCCACACCUUUUGUCCAUGACCCAUAUAACUUGCUUGCAUAGACAGUGCCAGAUGGUGACUGUCAUGCUAUGAGGUAGCCAGAAUGGACAGCGUAUCUAGGAUGAUAUGAACCUUUUUUGUUGCAUCAUUUUUGGUCCAAGUUUGUCCCUCAGUUCUAUCUGACAUGCAAUUGCACCACUGCUCAUGUAGGGACAUGAGAAAGGGAGGAGUGAGCACUGAGGUGCUAGAGGGCAGAGAAAGAGUAGGACUGCUGUUUUUAUUGACUUACAAUAUUUGUGAAAUUCAGAUUAACAGUGCCAUACCUCAUUGUAGAUGCUUACUUGCAGGAGUUUUUUUGAACUGUAGUUGCUGGGAUCAGCUCUGCCGCCUUUGUCAAGGAGUGGGCAUGUGACAUGAGCACAGAUCUCAGUGAAGUUCAGGGCUAUGAAGUUCUUGCUGUGGGGCUAUCACUCAGGGCCCAAAUGGCUGGACGUAUGUGACUUAUGCAGGAACAUAUAGAAAGUGUCAGGGAGAGCAGGUUGUCCAAAAUGCCUGGAUAAGAGCAUAAAUGGUUUAAUCAUAAGAGCAUAUUUCUCCUUUGGUACAGGUUUGACUUAUUAAUGCAUUCAUUUCUCUGAACAUUUUAUAAUUGAACCAGGUACAUGGAAAUGAACAUGGAGUAUGCAAGCUACAGAAUUGAGAGUGCAUGUACUUAGAAAUUGAAAGGAGAAAUUCUAGCUGUAAAAUACUUCACUAUACCUCCUUCUUCUAGUGAAAAUUCAGGGCCUGUUUAGAACUGCCUCCUUUCAGCUUUUGUUAUCAAAAUGUACAUCAGAUGCUGAAGUGCAGUUAAAAUCCUGUGGGCCCUCUUUUACAGCAAAAAAAAAAUUGCAUAAAUUGAGUUCAUUAGAGCAAUAUUGAUUUUCAGCACCUGAGUAUCUGCCCCCCAGUUUUAACUUAAUUUUUUUAAGUAUUUCUCUCCUGUGGCAAGAAGUUGAAGAGACAGAAGGAAGUCAGUAUGAAAGAAGAAAGAAAUAUGUCUUCAGUGCCUUAAGUAAAGGUUAUCGUACAGAAACAAAAAUUUUAAAGGAAUACAUAUUUUCAUUUUGCUUGUGUGUUAUUUUGAUUUGUGCCCAUAAUAACAUAAAAGGGAUGAAAAUACCAACAGAACUGAGUCCUGAACCAUCUGCUAAACAGGCACUUUUAUCUGUAUUGAAAUACAUGAUGGUGAGAUAAGCCUACUGAGAAAAUUAUGGAAUGCUUUUUUCCCUCUAAAUGAAAGGAUCACUUCUCCUUCAGUUAUUAUUGUAGGUUGGUACCAUCCAUGUAAAAAGUAAACAAGGCUCUAAGUAAGUUUCCUGUGCAUUAACAGAUGGGGUCACAUAAAUGAAAAAAAGUGAAUAUGAGGAUGUACCUUAGGAACUGAGAUAGUGUGUAUAGUACUUGUAACUUUGUAGUAUUUAAGCUGUUUUGGUACAUUUAGAAUAAACAUCUAUGGAAAAAGUUCCAUCUUAAUAUC
Gallus gallus (chicken) is the source of this 2938-nucleotide long non-coding RNA. The record is from Ensembl. NCBI's taxonomy places the organism in Eukaryota, Metazoa, Chordata, Aves, Galliformes, Phasianidae.